Molecule: ribosomal RNA, 471 nt
Filed under: uncultured bacterium
Lineage: Bacteria
Description: bacterial SSU rRNA
Rfam family: Bacterial small subunit ribosomal RNA
Source: RNAcentral
GGCCAGACUCCUACGGGAGGCAGCAGUGGGGAAUUUUGGACAAUGGGCGCAAGCCUGAUCCAGCUAUUCCGCGUGUGGGAUGACGGCCCUCGGGUUGUAAACCACUUUAGUAGAGAACGAAAAGGAGCUAUCGAAUAAAUAGCUCUGCUGACGGUACUCUAAGAAUAAGCACCGGCUAACUACGUGCCAGCAGCCGCGGUAAUACGUAGGGAGCAAGCGUUGUCCGGAAUUACUGGGCGUAAAGGGCGCGUAGGUGGGCGCUUAAGUCAGGUGUGAAAACUCCGGGCUCAACCUGGAGACUGCACUUGAAACUGGGUGUCUUGAGGGCAGGAGAGGAAAGUGGAAUUCCUAGUGUAGCGGUGAAAUGCGUAGAUAUUAGGAGGAACACCAGUGGCGAAGGCGACUUUCUGGACUGUACCUGACGCUGAGGCGCGAAAGCGUGGGUAGCGAACGGGAUUAGAUACCCUAGUA